RNAcentral lists this ribosomal RNA (457 nucleotides) under Achromobacter sp. MMA-BII-1. Its description in RNAcentral is "bacterial SSU rRNA". It matches the Rfam family "Bacterial small subunit ribosomal RNA", at positions 30 to 480 of the family's 1533-position model. Lineage: Bacteria; Pseudomonadati; Pseudomonadota; Betaproteobacteria; Burkholderiales; Alcaligenaceae. The record is from RNAcentral.
AUUGAACGCUAGCGGGAUGCCUUACACAUGCAAGUCGAACGGCAGCACGGACUUCGGUCUGGUGGCGAGUGGCGAACGGGUGAGUAAUGUAUCGGAACGUGCCUAGUAGCGGGGGAUAACUACGCGAAAGCGUAGCUAAUACCGCAUACGCCCUACGGGGGAAAGCAGGGGAUCGCAAGACCUUGCACUAUUAGAGCGGCCGAUAUCGGAUUAGCUAGUUGGUGGGGUAACGGCUCACCAAGGCGACGAUCCGUAGCUGGUUUGAGAGGACGACCAGCCACACUGGGACUGAGACACGGCCCAGACUCCUACGGGAGGCAGCAGUGGGGAAUUUUGGACAAUGGGGGAAACCCUGAUCCAGCCAUCCCGCGUGUGCGAUGAAGGCCUUCGGGUUGUAAAGCACUUUUGGCAGGAAAGAAACGUCAUGGGCUAAUACCCCGUGAAACUGACGGUACCU